AUGAUGACGGAGAUUUUUUUAUUUUUAUUUAUUUAUGAUAGUCACAGAGAGAAAGAGAGAGGCAGAGACACAGGCAGAGGGAGAAGCAGGCUCCAUGCACCGGGAGCCCGACGUGGGAUUCGAUCCCGGGUCUCCAGGAUCGCGCCCUGGGCCAAAGGCAGGCGCCAAACCGCUGCGCCACCCAGGGAUCCCGAUGAUGGAGAUUUUAGCUGCUCCAAACCUUCAGCGGAACCUGUUAUACAAAUGACCAACCAAAGAAAAGGGCUUGAUUUCCAAACUGUGUCAGCAGGAGAGAAAAGCGCUGCAGAAGGUGAGAUGUGAGAGAGUCCAUGUGUUCAGAGAGAGCAAGAACUCAGCCAGAAGUGACCCUGAGAUUCUAAAACCCCCAGGGAUUGUACCAUCUUGGAGAGAACAUUGGCCUUUCCACACGAGGUGGGAAAGGGACUUGAGUCAAUUUUAACAAAAUUUCUGUGGACAAGGUGACCCCGACUGAGAACUGGAUGACAUGCACAGUAAGCAGCUUGCUAUUUUCAAUCAUAAUUUCUCAAGAGACAUUUAUUGGUAGAAAAUGACAGGGUAAUUCUGCCGCCCCCCUUCCUCCGUUUAUUUAAAUUACUAGGUCUCAUUUUCCUCAUCUGCAAAGUCUGGAGAUUGGACAGAGACCAUCUCCGUGGUUUCUAUUAGAGUCUACAGCUCUAAUAACGAUGUUACAGAUGCAGAGAACAGACUGGUGGUUGCCAGAUGUGGGGAUUGGGAGUAGUGGGUGAGGAGGGUGGUCGAAGGGUACAAAUUUCCUAUUGUAAAAUAAGUCAGUCCUGGGGAUGUAAGGUACAGCCUGGUGACCAAAGUUAACAACACUGUAUUGUAUAUUUGUAAGUUGCUAAGACUGAUCUUGAAUUAUUUUUAUGUUUUUUUUUUUUUUUUUUUUUGAGGUACAUUCACCUACAGUGAAAUGUGCAGAUUUUACGGGUACUAUUCCAUGAGUUUUGACAAAGGCAUAUGCCUCUGUAACCCGAAGCCUAAGGAAGAGACAGAGCUUCUCCAUCACUAGAGAAUUCCGUCUUCAGCCGCACCCCAGCCUCCCCUCCGGCCACCCCUCUUCUGACUCUUACCACGAAGGGUUAAAUAAGAUUUAAACAUUGUUAAAUGCCAGUCUUUGUUUCACAGUGGUCCAUCGGUAUCGACGCCCUGAUUUCUCCAAGGCACUGGGCACUAGACAUCGUCUCCAUUUUGCAGAGUAAGGCGUUCCGCAUCCGGGAGUGAACUGCCCCCGGGGAUCCGCUGCCCGGGGUAGGGGCAGGGCGGGAACCGAGAAGCGGUUCUGCGGUUUCUACGGUUUCUACGGCCCCGGCCCCGCACCUCUGAGAAGGCUGCUGCAGAGUCCACAAACCAUCACCUCAGGAAUAGCAUACGCCUCAAACGUUCGGCCCAAAUCGGCGCCUCUUAGGAGUUCUCAGACCUCAACAAUCCGAAAGGCCGUACGCUCUACACCUUACUAAGGGACUCCUCUCCACCCUGCUCCUCCGAAAGCGGCAGAGGGUGUGCAACACUGCAAAUGGGAUUUUGCUGGUGGAAAGGCCAAAGGGGGACGGGCCGGCCCGGGCCCGACGACCUUUACGGAGCCCGGCGGCGAGACGCCCGGCGCUGCCUCCUCCGGCGCCACAGCUACCGUCUCAGAAUAGAGCGGCACCGAGGCGCUCCGCCGACCGCAGCGGACCAGCGUCCGGCCGAGGGAUUGGCCGCGGCCGCGGCAGGGCUCGUCGGGCAGUCCCCGAGCUCGAUCAGCCGCGCGUCCUCCUCCAGGUCACCGCCCGCCCCUCUCCGCCUCACCCUUGCGCCGCCCUUCC
This 1847-nucleotide long non-coding RNA is filed under the name Canis lupus familiaris (dog). Its description in RNAcentral is "lncRNA (ENSCAFG00845022067.1)". The record is from RNAcentral. Lineage: Eukaryota; Metazoa; Chordata; Mammalia; Carnivora; Canidae.